This 3264-nucleotide long non-coding RNA is filed under the name Equus caballus (horse). Its description in RNAcentral is "lncRNA (ENSECAG00000055065.1)". The record is from RNAcentral. Lineage: Eukaryota; Metazoa; Chordata; Mammalia; Perissodactyla; Equidae.
GUUAGUAUUUCCGGCCAUGUGGGUGGUGAGACGGGGGUGGAAGGACCACUGUGGCCUGGUGGUGGGUUGGGAGCUGUCAGCCUCCCCGUGACAGGGGCUUCUGGCCCACUCAGACCGAUUAGAAAAGUGGCUGUGACAUGGGGUGGGAUCAAGGAAACCCUGAGGAUUUGACUCUGGUUGGCAGAAGUGGGGAAUCCAAAAAGGAAGCUGGGUGUGGAGAGGAAGAUGCUGAAUUUUAAACAUUUAAACUGCCGAGUUUGUGGUUCUGGAAAAAUAUCCAAGUGGAGUAUCCAGCCAGCUGGGGGAAAUGUAGGGCUGGAAAUCUGGAGAGAGAUUGGGGCGACAUCUACAUACAUGUGAAUGAUUACAGGAGAAGGGCUCAGGAUUUUUAUGGGACAAAGGGAGGAAGAUGGGGUAGGUCGUAUUAAAGAAGCAUUCGUGGGGCUGGCCCCGUGGAGGAGUGGUUAAGUUCGCGCGCUCUGCUGCAGGCGGCCCAGUGUUUCGUUGGUUCGAAUCCUGGGCGUGGACAUGGCACUGCUCAUGAAACCACGCUGAGGCAGCGUCCCACAUGCCACAACUAGAAGGACCCACAACGAAGAAUAUACAACUAUGUACCGGGGGCUUUGGGGAGAAAAAGGAAAAAAAAAUAAAAUCUUUAAAGAAGCGUUCGUUGGUGGUAGAUGAGGUAAGGCUAGGUUUAUACUUCAUAGAUUGGCUUGAGAUUUGGUCAUCAGGCAAAAGGCUAGACUUGUACUUCAUUGAUUGCUUAGGGAUCUGGUUAUCAGGAAAGUCCAGUUUCUUCAGUCCUUAUAAACAGGAUAUUCUUGUCUUUACUGACUUCUUGGAAUGUUAGUGGUUUGGAAGAUAAAGAAAACAAGACGUGCAAGGCAAUUCCUCUGAAAUGGCUGCUCCAGCUCUAUCUUAAUAUGGUUCCCUUCAUGUCCUCUUUCACAAUUCUUGUUUGAGAAGUUUGUUGGUGAAAGGAGAAAGAUGAAAUGUCAGGUUCAGGUCAGGUUUGAUCCAGGAUAUGUGUGUUUGUGUGGAGCAGGAAAUGAGCCCAGGAGAGGGGCAGAUUGGAGAUGCUGGUGGGUACUCUGUGAGGAGGACAGGCCUCCAAGAGCUUGGGAAGGAGAAGGUCCUUGAGAAGGAUGUUGGGCGUCCUUUCCUUUGGGAUAGUCGAGAGGGAAGAAAAUGGUGACAACACUGCUAAUUUGAAAUUUAAAAGAAAAAGGUAUAUGCAGUAUACCAGAGACUGUAAUUUCCCAAUAUCUAUUCCCUCUUUCAUUCGUAGUAAGCAGUGUGCCCCCUCCUGAAUUUUUAGCCCAGAAAAUGACUGUUGGGAAAGAAGUCUACUUUUUCCAGCUUUCCUUGAAGCUGAAAGAGAGCACAUGCCUAAGUUUUGGCUGAUGGGAUGUAAAUGGAAGUGCUGGGGAUAACUUCUGAGAAGUUUCCAUAAGGGGAAGGGGGUACCCUUCUUCUCCUUUUUCCUUUUUCCUGCAGGUUAGACUGUGGAUAUGAUGGCUGGAGGUGGACAAGCCACUUUAGACCAACAGGUAUCCUUGGGAAUGGAGAUCAGGCAAGGUGAAGCAGCGAAAUAAAAGGAACCUGAGGGGCCGGCCCCAUGGCUGAGUGGUUAAGUCCAUGCACUCUGCUUCAGCGCCCCAGGGUUCACUGGUUUGGAUCCUGGGUGUGGACCUACAUACCACCCAUCAAGCCAUGCUGUGGCAGCAUCCCACAUAGAAGAACUGGCAUGACUUGCAACUAGGAUAUACAACUAUGCACUGGGGCUUUGGGGAGUAAAAGAAAAAAAAGAAGAAGAUUGGCAACAGGUGUUAGCUCAGGGCUAAUCUUCCUCACUAAAAAAAAACUUAUCCUUAAAAAAAAAAAAGGAAACUGAGUCUCUGAUAUUGUGGUGUGUCAACUAGACUCAAAUCCUCAGGGGGGUCCUUGAUGCCUCCCCAUGUUAUGGCCACAGUUCCAUUUCCUGGCCUCUCACUUCCUGACUUUUGCAUGAGAGAGAAAUCAAAUCACUGCUAAUUUGGGUUUUCUGUUACCGGUAGCUAGUUGUAGUCCUAACCGAUAUCUGAGGGCAUUCUUUCAGGGUAGGCUUGACCUCAGUAAAGUCAACAUGGAGAGCCAGCCCUGAUGGCCUAGUGGUUAAAGUUCAACGUGGGUUUGCUCUCUGGGUGUGGAACCACACCACCCACCAUCUGUCAGUAGCCAUGCUGUGAUGGCAGCUCACAUGGAAGAACUAGAAAGACUCACAACUAUGUACUGAGGCUUUGGGGAGGGGGAAAAAAAAGAGAGAGGAAGAUUGGCAACAGAUGUUAGCUCAGGGCAAAUCUUUCCCAGCAAAAAAAAAAAAAGUCAACAUGGAGACCAUCUUUGAAGUGGAGGAUGUGAAGUACGAGCAACAGGGAUGGGAUCUGGGACGGCUGCUGACAGUGAGACACUUCUAAAGAUACACCUGGGGGACGUGUGAGAGAACCGCCUGCCUAUGGGGCCAGGGACUCCAAACCACACCCGGCUGCCUCCAGGACAGAGGAGAUCAAGAUCUCAGUUUUCAGGACACCUACUGGAAAGCUCUGGGUCGAGCUGCAGAAGCCUUCUGAGAGAAACAGCACAUCCAGGGCAGGAGAUGUUGGCCUCAAGGCAUGAGCCAGCAAUAUUCCGAGGGUUCUAGGAAUGGCGCCUCGCAGUGUGAGCACUAGGUGAAAUUGACCUACCACAGCUCUCAGAGUUCUCGUGCAGUUCUGAUACAGCUCUGCAAUGUGCACGAACGAGGAUAAGCUUCAGAGGGCUAAAAUCAUGGUCUUGGCACCUCAAACAGUCUCAGAUAAAUCAAAAUGGGAUUCCGGAAAAGGGAAAAAGGUCUUGAGACCCAUGAUUUCCAUUUCUGCUAAGGAAAAGACUCGAUGGAAGACACAAAAUAAUGAUGAAAUAGGAAAUAGCCCAGAAAAAGAAGCAUCAAAGAAAGAUUAUUCCUCUAAGAUUUUAUCCUUGGGUAAAAUGGAUGGUGUAGUAAAGCUUUCAUAGCAAAGGAUUUUGUCAGCUAAAAGCACGAGGGAAAAGGCCAAACCACUGUGAUUUACCAGCAUCCCCUGCAAGGGCCUCUUUGCACAAAUGAUCCCUGGGAAUCUGUAUCUGAACUCAUCUCAGAAAGAUGGCUUUUUCAUAGCCUCGAUUACAGUUCAGUUCCUCAGAAGUGUUUCUUUGCAGAGAAGAUCUCAGUUUGAAGCAAAAUUGUUGAAGACCUCAAACGAU